This 1289-nucleotide long non-coding RNA is filed under the name Manacus vitellinus (golden-collared manakin). RNAcentral describes it as "lncRNA (ENSMVIG00005006070.1)". Lineage: Eukaryota; Metazoa; Chordata; Aves; Passeriformes; Pipridae. The record is from RNAcentral.
CUCCUUUCCUAAAAUAAUAACUAUUUGAUGUGAGAAAACCUAAAAAUGUAGAACACUUCUGUUCACAUAGAAUUUACUUUCAACAACUGUGUUCUUUCUACUCAAAUGAAGAUAGGUAGAGUGCUCUCUAAAGUACAGUAUUGGAAAAGGAAGAUGGGUACACACCUGGAUAAUGCUGAGCUGCUUGUGAAGCUAUAGACACUGCACGUUUAUGACUUGGUUUUCUGAGCGAUCUCCAGAGCUUGAACGGAUUACAGUGAUAUUUUAACAAGGCUGCUGGCAUCCAUCUCUAGCUUUCACUUACUAAGAAAUCUAAAAGAUGGGAGAAUGUAAUUAUUUUCACGUAAGCUAAGUGCUAGCGGCUGAUUGUCACGAGAACUUUGAUGCUUAAAAACUUCAUCUCUUGUAAGGCAAACAGUCCGUCUGAUGACACCACGAAUCUGGGAAUGAAGAACUUCUUAGAGCUGAUUGGAAAUGGCAUUACGGAGCUGAAACUUAACUGGAGGAAAUAUAUCUCCUGAAGAAGAAAAUAUAAUGCACUAUAAGGAUCUGACUUCUGGUGAAAAAUUCAAGCCUAGAGAAAACUUGUCCGCUUUGUUAGGAAGAAUGGGUUGGACAAUUUUCUUCAGUUCCAAAGGAUAUCUGAAUGCCAUGCUGAGCUUAAUCUCUGCAGCAUGCUCUGUGCUUCUCAUCUCUUCCUGAUGCACUGCAUGGUUAUCCUGAAGGGGACGAUAAAGAAACUGGCCACCAAGAUGGUAAUCACUAGUGGAAAUGAAGAAGAUAAAGGGAGUCAAGAAAAGGAAAGCAAAGAAGAAACCAUCUUGGCAAUGCUUGGAAUUAUUGGGACAAUUCUGAACCUCAUUGUGAUCAUUUUUGUGUAUAUUUACACAACGUUGUAAACUAGAAGGCAUGCAAAUAGACCAGAUAAAAUGGCCAUUAAGAAUGACAACAAACAUUGCUGACUAUUGACAAGUUCUUUAAUCAGAAUUGACUCUGUAUUAUAUUAACACAUCAUAAAAGCACUGCCUGCAGGCAGCGAAGACUGAAGCACAAUUAAUUUAACAAGACUUUUUCACACAGUAAUAAGCUUAACUCUUCUAUCCUGCCCUCUCCCUUUCGGUUUGGUUUUCAGUUUGGGGGAGAAUGACUGCAGUUAUGUAAGCUGUAGCUUUGAAGAAAUCCACCAGGGAUAUGUUGUUUUAACACAAUUUAAAAAAAAAAAAAAAAAGAAAAAAUAGAAAGAAAAAAAAGAAAAUAAAGAAACUGUACACUAUAUAUAAUUAGAAAUG